AUUUGUCUGGUUAAUUCCGAUAACGAACGAGACCUUAACCUGCUAACUAGAUCUUAUUAUCUUAUAAUUUGCAUCUUCUUAGAGGGACUAUGUAAUCUAAAUACAUGGAAGUUUGAGGCAAUAACAGGUCAGUGAUGCCCUUAUAUGUCCUGGGCUGCACGCGUGCUACACUGAUGCAUACAACAAGUGCCUAACCAGACAUGGUAUGGCAAUCUCGAAUAUGCAUCGUGAUGGGGAUAGAUCUUUGCAAUUAUAGAUCUUGAACGAGGAAUUCCUAGUAAGUGCAAGUCAUCAUCUUGCAUUGAUUAUGUCCCUGCCCUUUGUACACACCGCCCGUCGCUCCUACCGAUACCGGGUGAUCCGGUGAACCUUUUGGACUCUUUAUGGGAAAGAUAAGUAAACCAUAUCACCUAGAGGAAGGAGAAGUCGUAACAAGGUUUCCGUAGGUGAACCUGCRGAAGGAUCA
This 466-nucleotide ribosomal RNA is filed under the name uncultured ciliate. Its description in RNAcentral is "SSU rRNA". It matches the Rfam family "Eukaryotic small subunit ribosomal RNA". The record is from RNAcentral. Lineage: Eukaryota; Ciliophora.